AGCAGCCGCGGUAAUUCCAGCUCCAAUAGCGUAUAUUAAAGUUGUUGCAGUUAAAAAAGCUCGUAGUUGAAUUUCGAGAUCAAUUUGUUGGUCGUGCCUCGGUACGUACUGGCAAUUUUGAUUUCUCCCUUCUGAAGAACCAUGAUGUCAUUAAUUUGGUGUCAUGGGGAAUCAGGACUGUUACUUUGAAAAAUUAGAGUGUUUAAAGCAGGCUCGCGCUUGAAUACAUUAGCAUGGAAUAAUGAAAUAGGACGUUUGAUUCUAUUUUGUUGGUUUCUAGGAUCGACGUAAUGAUUAAUAGGGAUAGUUGGGGGCAUUAGUAUUCAAUUGUCAGAGGUGAAAUUCUUGGAUUUAUUGAAGACUAACUACUGCGAAAGCAUUUGCCAAGGAU
RNAcentral lists this ribosomal RNA (391 nucleotides) under uncultured Glomeromycotina. RNAcentral's name for it is "SSU rRNA". It matches the Rfam family "Eukaryotic small subunit ribosomal RNA", at positions 569 to 965 of the family's 1831-position model. Lineage: Eukaryota; Fungi; Glomeromycota. The record is from RNAcentral.